RNAcentral lists this ribosomal RNA (213 nucleotides) under uncultured bacterium. Its description in RNAcentral is "partial 16S ribosomal RNA". It matches the Rfam family "Bacterial small subunit ribosomal RNA", at positions 524 to 732 of the family's 1533-position model. The record is from RNAcentral.
UACGUAGGGCGCAAGCGUUGUCCGGAAUUAUUGGGCGUAAAGAGCUCGUAGGCGGUUUGUCGCGUCUGCUGUGAAAACCUAAGGCUCAACCUUGGGCUUGCAGUGGGUACGGGCAGACUAGAGUGCGGUAGGGGUGACUGGAAUUCCUGGUGUAGCGGUGGAAUGCGCGAGAUAUCGCAGGAGGAACACCGAGUGGCGAAGGCAGGUCACUGG